AUUGAACGCUGGCGGCAUGCCUUACACAUGCAAGUCGAACGGCAGCACGGGAGCAAUCCUGGUGGCGAGUGGCGAACGGGUGAGUAAAGUAUCGGAACGUGCCCAGUCGUGGGGGAUAACGUAGCGAAAGUUACGCUAAUACCGCAUACGAUCUAUGGAUGAAAGCGGGGGAUCGCAAGACCUCGCGCGAUUGGAGCGGCCGAUAUCAGAUUAGGUAGUGGGUGGGGUAAAGGCGCACCAUGCCGACGAUCUGUAGCUGGUCUGAGAGGACGACCAGCCACACUGGGACUGAGACACGGCCCAGACUCCUACGGGAGGCAGCAGUGGGGAAUUUUGGACAAUGGGCGAAAGCCUGAUCCAGCCAUGCCGCGUGCAGGAUGAAGGCCUUCGGGUUGUAAACUGCUUUUGUACGGAACGAAAAGGUUUGGCCUAAUAAGCUGAGCUCAUGACGGUACCGUAAGAAUAAGCACCGGCUAACUACGUGCCAGCAGCCGCGGUAA
RNAcentral lists this ribosomal RNA (500 nucleotides) under uncultured bacterium. RNAcentral describes it as "partial 16S ribosomal RNA". It matches the Rfam family "Bacterial small subunit ribosomal RNA", at positions 30 to 523 of the family's 1533-position model. The record is from RNAcentral.